GACGAACGCUGGCGGCGUGCCUAACACAUGCAAGUGGAGCGACGAACUAGACUUCGGUCUGGGGCCAAGCCGCGAACGGGUGAGUAACACGUGGGUAACCUGCCCCAAUGAUCGGGACAACCCGGGGAAACCCGGGCUAAUACCGAAUGUGGUCGCGGUCCGUGAGGACUGUGACGAAAGGAAGCUUCGGCCUCCGCAUUGGGAUGGGCCCGCGGCCCAUUAGCUUGUUGGUGGGGUAAUGGCCUACCAAGGCAUCGAUGGGUAGCUGGUCUGAGAGGACGAUCAGCCACACUGGGACUGAGACACGGCCCAGACUCCUACGGGAGGCAGCAGUGGGGAAUCUUGCGCAAUGCGCGAAAGCGUGACGCAGCAACGCCGCGUGGGGGAAGAAGGCUUUCGGGUCGUAAACCCCUUUCAGUUGGGACGAAGCUUCGCCGGUGAAUAGCCGGCCGGAGUGACGGUACCUUCACAAGAAGCCCCGGCUAACUACGUGCCAGCAGCCGCGGUAAUGCGUAU
RNAcentral lists this ribosomal RNA (516 nucleotides) under uncultured bacterium. RNAcentral describes it as "bacterial SSU rRNA". It matches the Rfam family "Bacterial small subunit ribosomal RNA", at positions 28 to 530 of the family's 1533-position model. The record is from RNAcentral.